CGGUGUGUGGCGCAGCCUGGUAGCGCACUUCGUUCGGGACGAAGGGGUCAGAGGUUCGAAUCCUCUCACACCGACCA
This 77-nucleotide transfer RNA is filed under the name Halioglobus sp. RNAcentral's name for it is "tRNA-Pro". It matches the Rfam family "tRNA". Rfam says of the family: Transfer RNA (tRNA) molecules are approximately 80 nucleotides in length. Their secondary structure includes four short double-helical elements and three loops (D, anti-codon, and T loops). Further hydrogen bonds mediate the characteristic L-shaped molecular structure. tRNAs have two regions of fundamental functional importance: the anti-codon, which is responsible for specific mRNA codon recognition, and the 3' end, to which the tRNAs corresponding amino acid is attached (by aminoacyl-tRNA synthetases). tRNAs cope with the degeneracy of the genetic code in two manners: having more than one tRNA (with a specific anti-codon) for a particular amino acid; and 'wobble' base-pairing, i.e. permitting non-standard base-pairing at the 3rd anti-codon position. The record is from RNAcentral. RNAcentral also lists the same sequence under 1 other name. Lineage: Bacteria; Pseudomonadati; Pseudomonadota; Gammaproteobacteria; Cellvibrionales; Halieaceae.